UACGUAGGGUGCAAGCGUUAAUCGGAAUUACUGGGCGUAAAGCGUGCGCAGGCGGUUAUGCAAGACAGAUGUGAAAUCCCCGGGCUCAACCUGGGAACUGCAUUUGUGACUGCAUGGCUAGAGUACGGUAGAGGGGGAUGGAAUUCCGCGUGUAGCAGUGAAAUGCGUAGAUAUGCGGAGGAACACCGAUGGCGAGGGCAAUCCCCUGGACCUGUACUGACGCUCAUGCACGAAAGCGUGGGGAGCAAACAGG
RNAcentral lists this ribosomal RNA (253 nucleotides) under uncultured bacterium. RNAcentral's name for it is "partial 16S ribosomal RNA". It matches the Rfam family "Bacterial small subunit ribosomal RNA", at positions 524 to 776 of the family's 1533-position model. The record is from RNAcentral.